CAGUAGCCGCGGUAAUACGAAGGGGGCUAGCGUUGCUCGGAAUGACUGGGCGUAAAGGGCGCGUAGGCGGCGGCCAAAGUCAGGCGUGAAAUUCCCGGGCUCAACCUGGGGGCUGCGUUUGAUACUUGGUUGCUUGAGUGGGGAAGAGGGUCGUGGAAUUCCCAGUGUAGAGGUGAAAUUCGUAGAUAUUGGGAAGAACACCGGUGGCGAAGGCGGCGACCUGGUCCUUUACUGACGCUGAGGCGCGAAAGCGUGGGGAGCAAACAGGAUUAGAGACCCAGUAGUCCCUGUCUCUUAUACA
Molecule: ribosomal RNA, 301 nt
Filed under: uncultured bacterium
Lineage: Bacteria
Description: partial 16S ribosomal RNA
Rfam family: Bacterial small subunit ribosomal RNA
Source: RNAcentral